GACGAACGCUGGCGGCGUGCUUAACACAUGCAAGUCGAGCGGUAAGGCCCUUUCGGGGGGUACACGAGCGGCGAACGGGUGAGUAACACGUGGGUGACCUGCCCUCAGCUCUGGGAUAAGCCUGGGAAACUGGGUCUAAUACUGGAUAUGACUCCACGGUGCAUGUCGUGGGGUGGAAAGCCUUGUGCGGCUGAGGAUGGGCCCGCGGCCUAUCAGCUUGUUGGUGGGGNGAUGGCCUACCAAGGCGACGACGGGUAGCCGGCCUGAGAGGGCGACCGGCCACACUGGGACUGAGACACGGCCCAGACUCCUACGGGAGGCAGCAGUGGGGAAUCUUGCGCAAUGGGCGAAAGCCUGACGCAGCGACGCCGCGUGAGGGAUGACGGCCU
This 389-nucleotide ribosomal RNA is filed under the name uncultured bacterium. RNAcentral describes it as "bacterial SSU rRNA". It matches the Rfam family "Bacterial small subunit ribosomal RNA", at positions 28 to 417 of the family's 1533-position model. The record is from RNAcentral.